Molecule: ribosomal RNA, 778 nt
Filed under: uncultured Neocallimastigales
Lineage: Eukaryota; Fungi; Neocallimastigomycota; Neocallimastigomycetes; Neocallimastigales
Description: partial large subunit ribosomal RNA
Rfam family: Eukaryotic large subunit ribosomal RNA
Source: RNAcentral
AGAGAGAGACAUGCGCGCAUAUCAAUAAGCGGAGGAAAAGAAACUAACAAGGAUUCCCUUAGUAACGGCGAGUGAAGCGGGAAGAGCUCAAAUUUGAAAUCUUCAAGGUUUUACCUUGACGAAUUGUAGUUUAAAGAAGUGUUUUCUGCUGAAGUUUUGGUAAAAGUUCUUUGGAAUAGGACAUCAUAGAGGGUGAGAAUCCCGUAUUUGACCAUUAUUUUCAGCUUUGUGAUACACUUUCUAAGAGUCGGAUUGUUUGGGAAUGCAGUCCAAAAUGGGUGGUAAAUUUCAUCUAAAGCUAAAUAUUGGCGAGAGACCGAUAGCGAACAAGUACCGUGAGGGAAAGAUGAAAAGAACUUUGAAAAGAGAGUUAAACAGUACGUGAAAUUGUCAAAAGGGAAGCGUUUGACACCAGUGUUGUUCUCUCGAAAAUCAAUUAAAAAUGGCUCGAUUUUGUAUGCGUUGAGACCUUAAAAGCUCACUGUACAUUUUUCGUGUCUUUUUUAAUGCACUUUUCGUUUAACAAGUCAACAUCAGUUUCUUUUGUUGUAAAAGGGUCAUUGGAAGGUGGCUUUCUUUUCGGAGAAAGUGUUUAUAGCCUUUGGCCUCUGCAAUCGGAGAGACUGAGGUCUGCAGCGUAGACUCUUCGGGGUUAGAUACAUUUGUGCUAAGUUAUAGCCUUUUCAUAGACAACUUGUUGACUAUGAAUCAGUCAUGUAGGCUUACUCGCUUAUGCUAUUUUACCUACGCUUAGGAUGUUGAGUCGUAGAGCACGCAG